This 84-nucleotide ribosomal RNA is filed under the name Bison bison bison. The record is from RNAcentral. Lineage: Eukaryota; Metazoa; Chordata; Mammalia; Artiodactyla; Bovidae.
GUCUCAGGCCGUAUCAGCCUGAAGGCGCCGAUCUCGUCUGAUCUCGGAAGCUAAAGCAGGGUCGGGCCUGGUUAGGAUCUUGGA